This 436-nucleotide ribosomal RNA is filed under the name uncultured bacterium. RNAcentral describes it as "partial 16S ribosomal RNA". It matches the Rfam family "Bacterial small subunit ribosomal RNA", at positions 29 to 506 of the family's 1533-position model. The record is from RNAcentral.
AGCGAACGCUGGCGGCAGGCUUAACACAUGCAAGUCGAGCGGGCAUCCUUGUGGUGUCAGCGGCAGACGGGUGAGUAACGCGUGGGAACGUGCCCUUCGGUUCGGAAUAACUCAGGGAAACUUGAGCUAAUACCGGAUACGUGCGAGAGCAGAAAGGUUUAUCUGCCGAAGGAUCGGCCCGCGUCUGAUUAGCUAGUUGGUGAGGUUACGGCUCACCAAGGCGACGAUCAGUAGCUGGUCUGAGAGGAUGAUCAGCCACACUGGGACUGAGACACGGCCCAGACUCCUACGGGAGGCAGCAGUGGGGAAUAUUGGACAAUGGGGGCAACCCUGAUCCAGCCAUGCCGCGUGAGUGAUGACGGCCUUAGGGUUGUAAAGCUCUUUUCUCCGGGACGAUAAUGACGGUACCGGAGGAAUAAGCCCCGGCUAACUUCGU